Molecule: transfer RNA, 71 nt
Filed under: Kroppenstedtia guangzhouensis
Lineage: Bacteria; Bacillati; Bacillota; Bacilli; Caryophanales; Thermoactinomycetaceae
Description: tRNA-Asp
Rfam family: tRNA
About the family: Transfer RNA (tRNA) molecules are approximately 80 nucleotides in length. Their secondary structure includes four short double-helical elements and three loops (D, anti-codon, and T loops).
Source: RNAcentral
GUGCACAGUAGCUUAAUAAAAGCAUCUGCCUAUCAAGCAGGGGAUGAAGGUCUCAAUCCUUCCUGUGUACU